Long non-coding RNA from Rosa chinensis, 1056 nucleotides. RefSeq lists it as uncharacterized. The record is from RefSeq and is a predicted model, not a curated record. The transcript is spliced from 3 exons. NCBI's taxonomy places the organism in Eukaryota, Viridiplantae, Streptophyta, Magnoliopsida, Rosales, Rosaceae.
GGGCACUUUUUGUUGCUGGGAUGGAACUGGAACAAUUUGAAACUGACUUUGUGGUGGUUGUCUCUAUUCCUUUUCCUUUCCAAGCCUAAUGUAGAAAACCUUGAUAAGGUUGUUGUUGGCUCUCUUAUCCUGUACCCAUGUCUUCAUUUCAUCCUCAAGACCUCAGCAAGCUUUAGCUUGGCCCAGAGAACCCUGUUCUGUGCAUUGAGGUCCUCAUUUGCUUUGGCAAGGCUUUUUAACUUUACCUCUAUUGCUUCGAUGUGAUUCAUCUCUCUGAUGGCUGCUUCCAUCUCAUUUAUUAGCUCUUUGAUAUUUUCCGUAAGCCUUUCAUUUUCUUCCUCUUGUUUUUGGCUUGCUUGGGGUACCUGCAAAUUACCUAUACUAAAGCGCUAUCUCCCCGUGAACAGUAAAAGUCAUGUUGAUUUACUUUUUUGCCCCUCAUUGUUUCUUUAUUACAACGCUGCCAUUCGACUUUAUGGGAGUGAGAGAGAGAGAGAGACUGGGAGAUGGAUACAGGUCUUCUGCGAGAGACAUGCUUGGAAAAGAUUAAGCGCCAGCUUGCUUCCGGUUUGCAUCGGAACUUGCUCCAGAACCCAAUUACCUUUUUCCUGAUUAACUAUAAAUGGCUUCUCUACAUUAGGUUGCUGAAAUUGUCAUUAAGUUUGGAGCUUCUGGAUUUUCGAUAAGGAUGAACGCAGUAUCGACACAAGUUGUCUGAGGCAUACAUUCUAGAAGUUCCAACAGACUGUGGCUGAGCUUAAAGGACUACACCAAUUGAUAUGGAAUUGGCAAGAUUUUUAGUAUUUUUGCGGGGAUUUUCUUUUUUGAAUGGACCCCUACAAUUUCUUAAUCAUCAGCCUAAGCCCUCACUUAUUUACCAUAGUACUUAACUUAGUUCAGUACUAUGACCAAUUGCUUGAGACACCAGAUUUUGAAAAAUGUAUAACAAUACCAUUUGUAGGUAUGUAAUGUAUUUAAUGUUUGUAAAUGUUGUAUUAUUAAGCUGAACAUAUUAAUAAUAUACCCGCAGCAUUGUGCGGGCUGGAAUACCUAGUA